UAACAUUUGGAAACAGAUGCUAAUACCGCAUAGAUCCAAGAACCGCAUGGUUCUUGGCUGAAAGAUGGCGUAAGCUAUCGCUUUUGGAUGGACCCGCGGCGUAUUAGCUAGUUGGUGAGGUAAUGGCUCACCAAGGCGAUGAUACGUAGCCGAACUGAGAGGUUGAUCGGCCACAUUGGGACUGAGACACGGCCCAAACUCCUACGGGAGGCAGCAGUAGGGAAUCUUCCACAAUGGACGCAAGUCUGAUGGAGCAACGCCGCGUGAGUGAAGAAGGCUUUCGGGUCGUAAAACUCUGUUGUUGGAGAAGAAUGGUCGGCAGAGUAACUGUUGUCGGCGUGACGGUAUCCAACCAGAAAGCCACGGCUAACUACGUGCCAGCAGCCGCGGUAAUACGUAGGUGGCAAGCGUUAUCCGGAUUUAUUGGGCGUAAAGCGAGCGCAGGCGGUUUUUUAAGUCUGAUGUGAAAGCCCUCGGCUUAACCGAGGAAGCGCAUCGGAAACUGGGAAACUUGAGUGCAGAAGAGGACAGUGGAACUCCAUGUGUAGCGGUGAAAUGCGUAGAUAUAUGGAAGAACACCAGUGGCGAAGGCGGCUGUCUGGUCUGUAACUGACGCUGAGGCUCGAAAGCAUGGGUAGCGAACAGGAUUAGAUACCCUGGUAGUCCAUGCCGUAA
Molecule: ribosomal RNA, 675 nt
Filed under: uncultured bacterium
Lineage: Bacteria
Description: bacterial SSU rRNA
Rfam family: Bacterial small subunit ribosomal RNA
Source: RNAcentral